CAUCAGGUUGGCCUAGUCUAUGGUUUUCUCGGUCCAACUAGCCACUUGCAUGUUAGUCCAAGCAUCCUACUCACUUUAGUAGCCCCUAAGGGAAUCCUCAUCCGUGACCACUCCUAACCCUAAUUUAUCCUGUAUCUUGUCCUCGUAUGUUUGUAUUGGUUGUUUAUUUGUUUAGUUUCUUUGCAUUCUAUUCACUCUCUCUUAAAUUGUGUCGGUUGAACAACAUUGUAAAAGUGAAGUAAAGGUAGCUUCUCGGGCCAUAUGGAAUACGACCACUGUGUCACGCACAGGGUAUUACUUGAUGACCAGUGCGCUUGCCGGAUAGCAUUCAUCAGCGUCUAUCCCGUCCACUAUGCCAGCGAUGUUCUCCUGGCCUUAACUGGCUAGCUCGUGCCUCCAGUGCCAUUACUUUGAAGAAGUUAGAGUGCUCAAAGCAAGACCAUGCUCUAGAUACAUUAGCAUGGGAUAACAUCAUACGAUUCCAUUCCUAUUGUGUUAGCCUUCGUGAUCAGUGUAAUGAUUAAGAGGGCCAGUCGGGAGCAUUUGUAUUUCAUAGUCAGAGGUGAAAUUCUUAGAUUUAUGAAAGACGAACCACUACGAAAGCAUUUGCCAAGGAUGUUUUCAUUGAUCAAGAAUGAAAGUUAGGGGAUCGAAGAUGAUCAGAUACCGUCUUAGUCUCAACCAUAAAAGAUGCCAACCAGGGAUCGGCGGAUGCUACAUUUAGGACUCCACCAGCACCUUAUGAGAAAUCAAUGUCUUUGGGUUCCAGGGGGAGUAUGGUCGCAAGGCUGAAACUUAUAGAAAUUGAUGGAAGGGCACCACCAGGAGUGGAGCCUGCGGCUUAAUUUGACUGAACACGGGGAAACUUACCAGGUCUAGACAUAGUAAAAAUUGACAGACUGAGAGCUUUUUCUUGAUUCUAUCGGUGGUGGUGCAUGGCCGUUCUUAGUUGGUGGAGCGAUUUGUCUGGUUAAUUCCGAUAACGAAUGAGACCUCAGCCUGCUAACUAACUAUGCGGAGGAAUCCCUUAGCGGCCAGCUUUUUAGAGGGACUGUGGUCGUUUAGGCCACUGAAGUUUGAUGCAAUAACAGGUUUGUGAUGCCCUUAGAUGUUCUAGGUCGAACACGCGCUACAUUGAUGUAUUCAAUGAGUCUAUAGCCUUCGUCGAUAGACCCGGGUAAUCUUGUAAAAUUUCAUCGUGAUGGGAAUAAAUCAUUGCAAUUAUUGGUCUUUAACGAGGAAUCCUUAGUAAGCGUGAGUCAUCAGCUCGUGUUGACUACGUCCCUGCCUUUUAUACACAUCGUCUGUCACUCCUACCGAUUCGAUGGUCUGGUGAAGUAUCUGGAUCACGGUGAUGGGUGCGAUCUCGCUGCCAGUGACGUCCAAGAAGUCCACUGAACCUUAUCAUUUAUAGGAAGGAGAAGUCGCAACAAGGUUUCUGUAGGUGAACUUGUGGAAGG
This 1460-nucleotide ribosomal RNA is filed under the name Dioscorea alata (purple yam). Its description in RNAcentral is "SSU rRNA". It matches the Rfam family "Eukaryotic small subunit ribosomal RNA". Lineage: Eukaryota; Viridiplantae; Streptophyta; Magnoliopsida; Dioscoreales; Dioscoreaceae. The record is from RNAcentral.